Molecule: ribosomal RNA, 468 nt
Filed under: uncultured bacterium
Lineage: Bacteria
Description: partial 16S ribosomal RNA
Rfam family: Bacterial small subunit ribosomal RNA
Source: RNAcentral
GACGAACGCUGGCGGCGUGCUUAACACAUGCAAGUCGAACGGAAAGGCCCUGCUUUUGCGGGGUGCUCGAGUGGCGAACGGGUGUGUAACACGUGAGUAUCCUGCCCUUGACUUUGGGAUAACUUCAGGAAACUGGGGCUAAUACUGGAUAGGAGCUCCUGCUGCAUGGUGGGGGUUGGAACGUUUCGGCGGUUGGGGAUGGACUCGCGGCUUAUCAGCUUGUUGGUGGGGUAGUGGCUUACCAAGGCUUUGACGGGUAGCCGGCCUGAGAGGGUGACCGGCCACAAUGGGACUGAGGGACGGCCCAGACUCCUACGGUAGGCAGCAGUGGGAAAUAUUGCACAAUGGGCGGAAGCCUGAUGCAGCAGCGCCGCGUGCGGGAAGACGGCCUUCUUGGUGUAAACCGCAUUCGCCUGUGACGAAGCGUGAGUGACGGUAAUGGGUAAAGAAGCACCGGCUAACUACGUG